This 253-nucleotide ribosomal RNA is filed under the name uncultured bacterium. RNAcentral describes it as "partial 16S ribosomal RNA". It matches the Rfam family "Bacterial small subunit ribosomal RNA", at positions 524 to 776 of the family's 1533-position model. The record is from RNAcentral.
UACAGAGGUCCCGAGCGUUGUUCGGAUUCACUGGGCGUAAAGGGUGCGUAGGUGGCGGGGUAAGUCUGAUGUGAAAGCUUCGAGCUCAACUCGAAAAUGGCAUUGGAUACUAUUCUGCUAGAGGGUUGGAGGGGGGACUGGAAUUCUCGGUGUAGCAGUGAAAUGCGUAGAUAUCUGGAGGAACACCGGUGGCGAAGGCGGCAUCCUGGACCGAGAUUGACGCUGAGGCGCGAAAGCUAGGGUAGCAAACGGG